GACGAACGCUGGCGGCGUGCUUAACACAUGCAAGUCGAACGGGCACCUUCGGGUGUCCGUGGCUCACGGGUGAGUAACACGUAAGUAAUCUACCCUCAAGACGGGCAUAACUAGCCGAAAGGUUAGCUAAUUCCCGAUAAUGAUCUUCGGUGGCAUCACCGAUCUUUUAAAGCAGCAAUGCACUUGAGGAUGAACUUGCGGCCUAUCAGCUAGUUGGCGGGGUAACGGCCCACCAAGGCGAAGACGGGUAGCUGGUCUGAGAGGACGAACAGCCACACUGGAACUGAGACACGGUCCAGACUCCUACGGGAGGCAGCAGUGAGGAAUAUUCCGCAAUGGGCGAAAGCCUGACGGAGCGACGCCGCGUGGAUGAUGAAGUCUUUCGGGAUGUAAAAUCCUUUCAGCAGGGACGAUAAUGACGGUACCUGCAGAAGAAGCCCCGGCUAACUACGUGCCAGCAGCCGCGGUAAUACGUAGGGGGCAAGCGUUGUCCGGAAUCACUGGGCGUAAAGGGCACGUAGGCGGCCAUGUAAGUCAGAUGUUAAAGGUAUAAGCUCAACUUAUAUUUCGCAUCUGAUACUGCUUGGCUAGAGAAUGGGAGAGGGAAACGGAAUUUCCGGUGUAGCGGUGAAAUGCGUAGAUAUCGGAAAGAACACCAGUGGCGAAGGCGGUUUCCUGGACCAUUUCUGACGCUGAGGUGCGAAAGCUAGGGGAGCAAACAGGAUUAGAUACCCUGGUAGUCCUAGCCGUAAACGAUGAUCACUUGGUGUGGGAGGUAUCGACCCCCCCUGUGCCGAAGCUAACGUGAUUAGUGAUCCGCCUGGGAAGUACGGUCGCAAGACUA
RNAcentral lists this ribosomal RNA (844 nucleotides) under uncultured bacterium. RNAcentral describes it as "bacterial SSU rRNA". It matches the Rfam family "Bacterial small subunit ribosomal RNA", at positions 28 to 896 of the family's 1533-position model. The record is from RNAcentral.